AUUUUCCGCAAUGGGCGAAAGCCUGACGGAGCAACGCCGCGUGGGUGAUGAAGUUUUUCGGAACGUAAAGCCCUUUCAGCAGGGACGAAGCGAGUGACGGUACCUGCAGAAGAAGCAUCGGCUAACUACGUGCCAGCAGCCGCGGUAAUACGUAGGAUGCGAGCGUUGUCCGGAAUUAUUGGGCGUAAAGAGAACGUAGGUGGUUUCUUAAGUUCGGUCUUAAAGACCGGGGCUCAACCCCGGGAAUGGACUGAAAACUGGGAGACUAGAGGAUGUUAGAGGACGGUGGAAUUCCAAGUGUAGCGGUGAAAUGCGUAGAUAUUUGGAGGAACACCAGUGGCGAAAGCGGCCGUCUGGGACAUUCCUGACACUGAGGUUCGAAAGCUCGGGGAGCAAACAGG
RNAcentral lists this ribosomal RNA (401 nucleotides) under uncultured bacterium. Its description in RNAcentral is "bacterial SSU rRNA". It matches the Rfam family "Bacterial small subunit ribosomal RNA", at positions 361 to 776 of the family's 1533-position model. The record is from RNAcentral.